This 63-nucleotide transfer RNA is filed under the name Histeroidea sp. 5 KM-2017. RNAcentral's name for it is "tRNA-His". Lineage: Eukaryota; Metazoa; Arthropoda; Insecta; Coleoptera. The record is from RNAcentral.
AUUUAAAUAGUUUAAUAAAAAUUUUGAUUUGUGGAAUCAAAGAUGUAGGAGUUACUUUAAAUA